GACGAACCGUGCGAACGUUAUUCGGAAUCACUGGGCUUAAAGCGUGCGUAGGCGGCUCAGAAAGUUGGGUGUGAAAUCCCUCGGCUCAACCGAGGAAUUGCGCCCAAAACUACUGGGCUUGAGGGAGUUAGAGGUGAGCGGAACUCACGGUGGAGCGGUGAAAUGCGUUGAUAUCGUGAGGAACACCGGAGGCGAAAGCGGCUCACUGGGGCUUCACUGACGCUGAGGCACGAAAGCUAGGGGAGCAAAC
This 250-nucleotide ribosomal RNA is filed under the name uncultured bacterium. Its description in RNAcentral is "partial 16S ribosomal RNA". It matches the Rfam family "Bacterial small subunit ribosomal RNA", at positions 524 to 773 of the family's 1533-position model. The record is from RNAcentral.